CCCGUCCUGGACAGGAGCCCGCGGGUGCGGACCGCCGCCGACCGCCUGGGCUUCGAAUGCCCGGGGCGGGCC
RNAcentral lists this transfer RNA (72 nucleotides) under compost metagenome. RNAcentral describes it as "tRNA-Arg". The record is from RNAcentral.